UGGACAUUGAUUGUUCCUGUGAUUUGUUUGCUCAAUGGAAAAGGAGUCUACAUUAUCCCUCUAUGUUGUAAUUGUGUCUAAACAAGGAUUUUUAUUUUUGGGGGGGUGGAUAUGGAAAAUGUAAUUAGAAGGAAAACAAAUAUUACUUUCAAAAUAAAUAAUGUUGAUAUGUAUUUAUUAUUGCAAUGAACGUAAUAAUAAUAACUUUACUUUUCUUUUACAUCUUUUUAUUAAUUUGGGUCCAAGCCAAAUUUUCUUCAGGAGACUUAAGGACUACUGUACCAGUUUGGAGAACAUUGUCAGUAAAAAAAUCCAACAAUACUUGUAAUAUUUUCCAUGAAUAUACAGUUGUUGAUUACUGAAUAAUUGGUUUGCACACUCUUGUACAUUACAGUUGUAUAUUUUGUUCUGGUUAAUUAAAAGGAGAAGAAGCGGCACACACUGCUUCAGUCUGCGUAGCGCUGCAUGAAGUCGAACACACCUAUUGGUAUCACAACAUGAUCGCUGUACCACCUGACCAUUGCAGAUUCAUUUUGCAGUUAAUAGUGUCGCCAUAGAAACACACAUUGCUCUCAUAAUUAGGCUACCUUAAUUAUUAUGAGAUGGCUUGAAAGCAGCAUUCAGCUCAUCCAACCCCAAUCAAACACACCUGAACAAGCUAAUUAAGGCAUUUCAGAUUACUAGAAAACUACAGGCAGGUGAGUUUGAUCAGGGUUGGAAUUGACCUGAUCUCCUUGGAUCUUUAAAACCCCAUUUUACAGAGUUUGAUAUUACAGCAACACGUAUUUGUUUGAGUUUUGUGCGCUUCGCUGUCCACUGCUUCUGACGCACCAAUUCAGCGCAUUUUCCAGCAGAGAUCGUUGUGAGAUCGCAGGUCGGGAGAAUGACAGCUCGAGUGUAUUUCUCGUUGAUUGCUGUUAUGUUGUGUCUGUUUGGAUACUUGCGCAUAACUCACGCUAUUCAAAGACGAACCACAGUGGAUGGUUUUUGUCCGGAGAGGCUGACGGUUGUGCCGUCCCAUCGAGGAUGUUCUUCUGAUGAAGACUGCCCUGGAGGACACAAAUGCUGUCGAUUUGACUGUGGGCCUGUUUGUGUGCUGCCUGUUUUCAGUGACUUUCAGUUAAUAAUGGGUCCCAAAAAAAACAAACGAGUAAGGCUCUGUCCCAAAUGGCACCCUAAACCCUCGUUGUCUUCCUCUGAGUCCGCACUUUCGUGAUGUAAUGCUACUUUGACUGUCGGGUAGAAGUCUACUGAGGAGCUCAGUGUGGGCUCAGCAGAAGUGUGGAUCGAGGGUGCAUAACGGCUGCAAACGGGGCGCUCGCAAGCACCCUUCUGAAUGCUAAAAUGACAAAUGGGACACCCUACGGUCUCAUGG
Long non-coding RNA from Cyprinus carpio (common carp), 1375 nucleotides. The record is from Ensembl. NCBI's taxonomy places the organism in Eukaryota, Metazoa, Chordata, Actinopteri, Cypriniformes, Cyprinidae.